CGAGGGGAGUGAAAAAGAACCUGAAACCGUGUACGUACAAGCAGUGGGAGCACGCUUAGGCGUGUGACUGCGUACCUUUUGUAUAAUGGGUCAGCGACUUAUAUUCUGUAGCAAGGUUAACCGAAUAGGGGAGCCGAAGGGAAACCGAGUCUUAACUGGGCGUUAAGUUGCAGGGUAUAGACCCGAAACCCGGUGAUCUAGCCAUGGGCAGGUUGAAGGUUGGGUAACACUAACUGGAGGACCGAACCGACUAAUGUUGAAAAAUUAGCGGAUGACUUGUGGCUGGGGGUGAAAGGCCAAUCAAACCGGGAGAUAGCUGGUUCUCCCCGAAAGCUAUUUAGGUAGCGCCUCGUGAAUUCAUCUCCGGGGGUAGAGCACUGUUUCGGCAAGGGGGUCAUCCCGACUUACCAACCCGAUGCAAACUGCGAAUACCGGAGAAUGUUAUCACGGGAGACACACGGCGGGUGCUAACGUCCGUCGUGAAGAGGGAAACAACCCAGACCGCCAGCUAAGGUCCCAAAGUCAUGGUUAAGUGGGAAACGAUGUGGGAAGGCCCAGACAGCCAGGAUGUUGGCUUAGAAGCAGCCAUCAUUUAAAGAAAGCGUAAUAGCUCACUGGUCGAGUCGGCCUGCGCGGAAGAUGUAACGGGGCUAAACCAUGCACCGAAGCUGCGGCAGCGACGCUGAUGCGUUGUUGGGUAGGGGAGCGUUCUGUAAGCCUGCGAAGGUGUGCUGUGAGGCAUGCUGGAGGUAUCAGAAGUGCGAAUGCUGACAUAAGUAACGAUAAAGCGGGUGAAAAGCCCGCUCGCCGGAAGACCAAGGGUUCCUGUCCAACGUUAAUCGGGGCAGGGUGAGUCGACCCCUAAGGCGAGGCCGAAAGGCGUAGUCGAUGGGAAACAGGUUAAUAUUCCUGUACUUGGUGUUACUGCGAAGGGGGGACGGAGAAGGCUAUGUUGGCCGGGCGACGGUUGUCCCGGUUUAAGCGUGUAGGCUGGUUUUCCAGGCAAAUCCGGAAAAUCAAGGCUGAGGCGUGAUGACGAGGCACU
Molecule: ribosomal RNA, 1045 nt
Filed under: Escherichia coli
Lineage: Bacteria; Pseudomonadati; Pseudomonadota; Gammaproteobacteria; Enterobacterales; Enterobacteriaceae
Description: partial 23S ribosomal RNA
Rfam family: Bacterial large subunit ribosomal RNA
Source: RNAcentral